Molecule: ribosomal RNA, 497 nt
Filed under: uncultured bacterium
Lineage: Bacteria
Description: partial 16S ribosomal RNA
Rfam family: Bacterial small subunit ribosomal RNA
Source: RNAcentral
GAUGAACGCUGGCGGCGUGCCUAAUACAUGCAAGUCGAGCGGACAGACGAGGAUCUUGCUCCUCGGACGUGAGCGGCGGACGGGUGAGUAACGCGUGUAUAACCUACCUAUAUGACUGGGAUAACUUCGGGAAACCGGCGCUAAUACCGUAGAAUAUAUUGAACCGCAUUGUUCAAUAGUAAAAUACGGUUUUUCUGGCACGUAUAGAUGGAUCUGCGCCGUAUUAGCUGGUUGGUAAGUUAACGGCCUACCAAGGCAACGAUGCGUAGCCGACGUGAGAGACGGGUAGGCCGCCUGGGAAGGGAGCCACGGACAAGGGGACUAAGGGACGGCGCAGUAGGGAAUGUUAGGCAGUGGGCGAGAGCAUGACGGAGCAAGGCGGAGUGAGAGAUGACGGUGUUCGGAUCGUAAAACCCUGUUAUUAGGGGAGAACAAAUGUGUAAGUAAAUAUGCACGUAUUGACGGUACCUAAUAAGAAAGCAACGGCUAACUACGUG